GCCUGGGUGGCUCAGUCGGUUAAGCAUCUGACUUCGGCUCAGGUCAUGAUCUCACAGUCUGUGGGUUUGAGCCCCAUGUCAGGCU
This 85-nucleotide transfer RNA is filed under the name Felis catus (domestic cat). It matches the Rfam family "tRNA". Rfam says of the family: Transfer RNA (tRNA) molecules are approximately 80 nucleotides in length. Lineage: Eukaryota; Metazoa; Chordata; Mammalia; Carnivora; Felidae. RNAcentral also lists the same sequence under 2 other names. The record is from Rfam by way of RNAcentral.